CUGUAGCGAUUUAUUGUCCGCCCC
RNAcentral lists this non-coding RNA (24 nucleotides) under Arabidopsis thaliana (thale cress). Lineage: Eukaryota; Viridiplantae; Streptophyta; Magnoliopsida; Brassicales; Brassicaceae. The record is from RNAcentral.